GGAUCCAGACUUUGAUUAUGGCUCAGGACGAACGCUGGCGGCGUGCCUAAUACAUGCAAGUCGAACGAAGCUUUCUUUCACCGAAUGCUUGCAUUCACCGAAAGAAGCUUAGUGGCGAACGGGUGAGUAACACGUAGGCAACCUGCCCAAAAGAGGGGGAUAACACUUGGAAACAGGUGCUAAUACCGCAUAACCAUGAACACCGCAUGAUGUUCAUGUAAAAGACGGCUUUUGUUGUCACUUUUGGAUGGGCCUGCGGCGUAUUAACUUGUUGGUGGGGUAACGGCCUACCAAGGUGAUGAUACGUAGCCGAACUGAGAGGUUGAUCGGCCACAUUGGGACUGAGACACGGCCCAAACUCCUACGGGAGGCAGCAGUAGGGAAUCUUCCACAAUGGACGAAAGUCUGAUGGAGCAACGCCGCGUGAAUGAAGAAGGCCUUCGGGUCGUAAAAUUCUGUUGUCAGAGAAGAACGUGCGUGAGAGUAACUGUUCACGUAUUGACGGUAUCUGACCAGAAAGCCACGGCUAACUACGUGCCAGCAGCCGCGGUAAUACGUAGGUGGCAAGCGUUGUCCGGAUUUAUUGGGCGUAAAGGGAACGCAGGCGGUCUUUUAAGUCUGAUGUGAAAGCCUUCGGCUUAACCGAAGUAGUGCAUUGGAAACUGGAAGACUUGAGUGCAGAAGAGGAGAGUGGAACUCCAUGUGUAGCGGUGAAAUGCGUAGAUAUAUGGAAGAACACCAGUGGCGAAAGCGGCUCUCUGGUCUGUAACUGACGCUGAGGUUCGAAAGCGUGGGUAGCAAACAGGAUUAGAUACCCUGGUAGUCCACGCCGUAAACGAUGAGUGCUAAGUGUUGGAGGGUUUCCGCCCUUCAGUGCUGCAGCUAACGCAUUAAGCACUCCGCCUGGGGAGUACGGUCGCAAGACUGCAACUCAAAUGAAUUGACGG
Molecule: ribosomal RNA, 947 nt
Filed under: uncultured Bacillota bacterium
Lineage: Bacteria; Bacillati; Bacillota
Description: bacterial SSU rRNA
Rfam family: Bacterial small subunit ribosomal RNA
Source: RNAcentral